Molecule: ribosomal RNA, 99 nt
Filed under: uncultured bacterium
Lineage: Bacteria
Description: partial 16S ribosomal RNA
Source: RNAcentral
CUUCGGAUCGUAAAGCACUUUCGACCGGGACGAAAACCUAGUGGCUAACAUCUACUAGACUGACGGUACCGGGAGAAGAAGCACCGGCUAACUCUGUGC